AUGAGGACGCUGGCGACGAAGAGCUGGGAGGAGUCGAAGCUGCUAUGGCGUCUCGCCUUCCCGGCGGUCCUCACCGAGGUGUUCCAGUUCUCCAUCGGCUUCGUCACCGCCAGCUUCGUCGGGCACAUCGGCGUCGUCGAGCUCGCCGCGGUCACCGUCGUCGAGAGCAUCCUUGAGGGCUUCGCCUACGGAGUCCUGUUCGGCAUGGGCUGCGCGCUGGACACGCUGUGCGGGCAGGCGGUGGGCGCCGGGCAGCUGGACCUGCUGGGCGUCUACGUGCAGCAGUCGUGGAUCGUCUGCGGCGCGGCCGCAGUGGCGCUCACGCCGGCGUACGCCUUCGCCACGCCGAUCCUGGGCUCCCUCCUCCGGCAGCCGGCCGCCGUCGCGGUCGCCGCGGGGCCGUACGCGCGGUGGGCGAUCCCGCGGCUGCUCGCGCACGCCGCCAACUUCCCGCUGCAGAAGUUCUUCCAGACGCAGAGCAGGGUGUGGGCCCUGACCGCCAUCACCGGCGCCGCGCUCGCCAUCCACGUCGCGCUCACCUACGUCGCCGUCAACCGGCUCGGGUACGGCCUCCGCGGGGCGGCGGUCGCGGGCAACGUCUCCUACUGGCUCAUCGACGCCGCGCAGUUCGCCUACCUGGUCAGCGGUCGGUUCCCUGAGGCGUGGAAGGGGUUCUCCGUUCUCGCGUUCAGGAACCUCGCCGCCUUCGUCAAGAUCUCCCUCGUGUCCGCCGCCAUGAUCUGCUUGGAGUUUUGGUACUACGCGGCAUUGCUCAUUCUGGUGGGUCUCCUCAAGAAUGGCCAGCUCCAGCUUGAUAUCAUGUCAGUUUGCAUCAACUACGAGUUCUGGACCAUGAUGGUGGCGCUGGGCUUCAGCGAAGCAGUCAGCGUCAGGGUGUCCAACGAGCUGGGAGCGAGCAGACCCAAGGAGGCCAAGUUCGCGGUGGCCAUGGCGGCCAUGACAUCCGCGCUCAUCGGGGCCACCUUCAUGGCCGUCUUCUUCAUCUGGAGGAGAGGCUUGCCGAGGCUCUUCAGCGACGACGAGGAGGUGGUCGACGGAGCGGCGAGGUUGGGGUAUCUGCUCGCCGUCACCGUCUUCUUCAGCAGCAUCGGGCCAGUGCUCUCAGGUGUGGCUGUUGGAGCAGGGUGGCAAUUGCAGGUGGCAUUCGUAAACAUCGGUUGCUACUACUUGGUGGGCAUUCCGGUUGGUGUCCUGCUUGGAUUCAAGUUCAAACUUGGUGCAUUGGGGGUAUGGACGGGCAUGCUAACAGGCACGUUGCUACAGAUGGCUAUAGUUCUUGUCAUUAUCAUGAGAACAGAGUGGGAGAAACAGGCCUUGUUGGCAGCGGCGAGGAUCAAGGAGGUCGGAGGGAAGAAUGAGGACCAGCCAUUGGCCACAGCGGCAUGUAGAGAAGACGAGCAAAUGGACACUGCUAACGAUGAAACUUAUAUGCAAACACGCGAGAGAAAUAGAGAGUUAGAGUGUAAUGAACAGGCACUAGUAUAG
This 1506-nucleotide ribosomal RNA is filed under the name Triticum aestivum (bread wheat). RNAcentral describes it as "partial small subunit ribosomal RNA". The record is from RNAcentral. Lineage: Eukaryota; Viridiplantae; Streptophyta; Magnoliopsida; Poales; Poaceae.